UACGUAGGUGGCAAGCGUUGUCCGGAAUUAUUGGGCGUAAAGCGCGCGCAGGCGGUCCUUUAAGUCUGAUGUGAAAGCACACGGCUCAACCGUGGAGGGUCAUUGGAAACUGGGGGACUUGAGUGCAGAAGAGGAGAGCGGAAUUCCACGUGUAGCGGUGAAAUGCGUAGAGAUGUGGAGGAACACCAGUGGCGAAGGCGGCGUCUCUGGUCGUAACUGACGCUGAGGCGCGAAAGCGUGGGGAGCGAACAGG
Molecule: ribosomal RNA, 253 nt
Filed under: uncultured bacterium
Lineage: Bacteria
Description: partial 16S ribosomal RNA
Rfam family: Bacterial small subunit ribosomal RNA
Source: RNAcentral